AGUUUGAUCCUGGCUCAGGACGAACGCUGGCGGCGUGCCUAAUACAUGCAAGUCGAACGAACUCUGGUAUUGAUUGGUGCUUGCAUCAUGAUUUACAUUUGAGUGAGUGGCGAACUGGUGAGUAACACGUGGGAAACCUGCCCAGAAGCGGGGGAUAACACCUGGAAACAGAUGCUAAUACCGCAUAACAACUUGGACCGCAUGGUCCGAGUUUGAAAGAUGGCUUCGGCUAUCACUUUUGGAUGGUCCCGCGGCGUAUUAGCUAGAUGGUGGGGUAACGGCUCACCAUGGCAAUGAUACGUAGCCGACCUGAGAGGGUAAUCGGCCACAUUGGGACUGAGACACGGCCCAAACUCCUACGGGAGGCAGCAGUAGGGAAUCUUCCACAAUGGACGAAAGUCUGAUGGAGCAACGCCGCGUGAGUGAAGAAGGGUUUCGGCUCGUAAAACUCUGUUGUUAAAGAAGAACAUAUCUGAGAGUAACUGUUCAGGUAUUGACGGUAUUUAACCAGAAAGCCACGGCUAACUACGUGCCAGCAGCCGCGGUAAUACGUAGGUGGCAAGCGUUGUCCGGAUUUAUUGGGCGUAAAGCGAGCGCAGGCGGUUUUUUAAGUCUGAUGUGAAAGCCUUCGGCUCAACCGAAGAAGUGCAUCGGAAACUGGGAAACUUGAGUGCAGAAGAGGACAGUGGAACUCCAUGUGUAGCGGUGAAAUGCGUAGAUAUAUGGAAGAACACCAGUGGCGAAGGCGGCUGUCUGGUCUGUAACUGACGCUGAGGCUCGAAAGUAUGGGUAGCAAACAGGAUUAGAUACCCUGGUAGUCCAUACCGUAAACGAUGAAUGCUAAGUGUUGGAGGGUUUCCGCCCUUCAGUGCUGCAGCUAACGCAUUAAGCAUUCCGCCUGGGGAGUACGGCCGCAAGGCUGAAACUCAAAGGAAUUGACGGGGGCCCGCACAAGCGGUGGAGCAUGUGGUUUAAUUCGAAGCUACGCGAAGAACCUUACCAGGUCUUGACAUACUAUGCAAAUCUAAGAGAUUAGACGUUCCCUUCGGGGACAUGGAUACAGGUGGUGCAUGGUUGUCGUCAGCUCGUGUCGUGAGAUGUUGGGUUAAGUCCCGCAACGAGCGCAACCCUUAUUAUCAGUUGCCAGCAUUAAGUUGGGCACUCUGGUGAGACUGCCGGUGACAAACCGGAGGAAGGUGGGGAUGACGUCAAAUCAUCAUGCCCCUUAUGACCUGGGCUACACACGUGCUACAAUGGAUGGUACAACGAGUUGCGAACUCGCGAGAGUAAGCUAAUCUCUUAAAGCCAUUCUCAGUUCGGAUUGUAGGCUGCAACUCGCCUACAUGAAGUCGGAAUCGCUAGUAAUCGCGGAUCAGCAUGCCGCGGUGAAUACGUUCCCGGGCCCUGUACACACCGCCCGUCACACCAUGAGAGUUUGUAACACCCAAAGUCGGUGGGGUAACCUUUUAGGAACCAGCCGCCUAAGGUGGGACAGAUGAUUAGGGUGAAGUCGUAACAAG
Molecule: ribosomal RNA, 1520 nt
Filed under: Lactiplantibacillus plantarum
Lineage: Bacteria; Bacillati; Bacillota; Bacilli; Lactobacillales; Lactobacillaceae
Description: Lactobacillus plantarum partial 16S ribosomal RNA
Rfam family: Bacterial small subunit ribosomal RNA
Source: RNAcentral